Long non-coding RNA from Cyprinus carpio (common carp), 1180 nucleotides. Lineage: Eukaryota; Metazoa; Chordata; Actinopteri; Cypriniformes; Cyprinidae. The record is from Ensembl.
AUAAAUUCUAUCGUAAAUUUCAUUAUUUCCACUUCUGAAGUCGGGAUUGCAAGCACUUUAAUGUGCAGUAUUUAACUAGGAAACUUACGUAUGUUAAUUCAGAUGGCUUGUGACUUUAGCAUUUUAUAUGUUCUAAAUUAUAUACAUAAAGAUGUUGACUAAAUGUUUAUGUAAUAUCUGACAACAUCUUCGGCAACAAUUGCAGAAGAGAACAUCAACACAACAUGAAAUAGACAUCAGUGAUGUGUGUGUGCUAUUAGCUAUGCAGUAGAAUUCACUGUUGUGAACACUGCUAAUGUAAAUCAUUAUGUAAUGUAAAUUAAACCAUACUAUUUUAAAGGUUUCAAGAAAUUAUAGUUAUCAAUAAAAUACUGAGAUAUCCUUUUUUUGUCUGUAUUGCACACCCCUACUUCUUUAUAUUUCCACUGAGACCAGUGUAUCAGGAAGAACUCAAGACUGUAUUCACAGAUCCUGAGUGAUAACAGCCUCUCUACAGCCGACACGAGCAGCGCAACGCAUUAUAAUCAGUGAUACUGUCUACUGCACUGAACAGAUCACCCCUUCUACUUCUAAAGGACCCUAUCUAGGACAAAACAUCAUGUAUCAUACCAAAUACAAGCCCAAGCGACUAUCAGAUAACACAAACCUGUAUCAUCUUAAUAAACCAAGUGUAUCGUCUCUACAAAGUGGGAAUCAUUCUGUAUUACAUUUAAUUACUGUUUGAAACAUUUGUAAUUAGUGGCGUGACACCCUACUUAUAAUGCUAACUAUAGAGUGUUAGAUCCAGAGCUGCUCGUAUCCAUCAUUAAAUCUGCUUGACUGGAGAACUGGGAAUGCUGUUGGCUGUUGUGGGACAGUAAUUUCAUCUAUGAAAUGAAUCGAGUUAUUAAUUAGUCUGUUCUGUCUUGAAUUAUGUGACGCUUUCUAUCCAGUGUUCCCAUAAAGAGACGUAAAGCUCUAAUAUUGUCGAAGGCGAUUAAAUCAUAAUACUGUGGCUAACGAAAUCUAAAUGUUAAGUAUCUUUUACUGUAGCACUUCUUCUGGAUCUUAAAAUUCAUAUCUGAGCUAGUGUAAAUGAGCAACGCUGUUUCAGUUAGAGACCGCUGACUGUAAAGCAACACCUGAUCGGUUGAAGUGAGAACGUGCUAUGAUUGGCCGGCAGUAGAGUCCACCUGUCUGU